UGCGUGGAUGUCUUCCAGCAUGGAAAAGUGGAAAUCAUUGCCAGUGACCAGGGGAUCCGAACCACACCGAGCUAUGUUGCUUUUACUGACACUGAAGGAUUGAUUGGUGAUGCUGCAAAGAAUCAGGUUGCCAUGAACCCCAUGAACAGUAUUUGAUGCCAAACGUCUAAUCAGGUGCAAGUUUGAUGAUGCUGUUGUUCAGUCUGACGUGGAACACUGGCCCUUCAUGGUGGUGAACGAUGCAGACAGGCCCAAGGUCUAAAGAGAGUACAAAGGGGAGACCAAAGGUUUCUUUCCAGAAAAGGUGUCCUCUAUGGUUCUAAUGAAGAUGAAGGAAAUUGCAGAAGGCUACCUUGGCAAGACUAAUGCCAUGGUCACAAUGCCAGCUUACUUCAUGACUCUCAGUGGCAGGCAACCAAAGAUGCUGGAACCAUUGCUAGCUUCAAUGCACUUUCAAGGCACUAACUUCAAUGAACCAACUGCUGCUGCUAUUGCUCACGCCUUAGAUAAGAAAGUUGGAGCAGAGAGAAAUACACUGAUUUUUUAUUUGAAAGUGACACUUUUAUUUGAAAGUGGCACUUUUGAUGUGUCAAUCUUCACUAUUGAGGAUGGAAUCUUUGAGGUCAAAUCUAUAGCUAGAGACACCCAUUUUGAUGGAGAAGGCUUUGACAACCAAAUGGUCAACCACUUCAUUGCUGAGUUUAAACGCAAGCACAAGAAGGACAUCAGUGAGAACAAGAGAGUUGUCUGCAAUCUCCGCACUGCUUGUGAGUGGGCUAAGUGUACCCUCUCCUCCAGGAUCCAGGCAGUAUUGAGAUUGAGUCUCUCUAUGAGACUCAACUUAUACACCUCCAUUACCCAGGCUCGAUUUGAAAGUUGAAUGUUAACUUGUUCUGUGGCACUCUGGCCCCUGUAGAAAAAGCCCUUUGAGAUGCCACACUAGACAAGCCUCAGAUCUAUGAUAUUGUUCUGGUGGGUGGUUCCACAUGUAUCCCCCAAGAUUCAGAAGCUUCUGCAAGACUUCUUCAAUGGAAAAGAACUGAAUAAGAACAUUAGCUGAAGCUAAUGAAGCUGUUGCUUAUGGUGCAGCUGUCCAUCCAGGCUGCCAUUCUAUCUGAAAAUGUUCAAGAUCUGCUGCUCUUGGAUGUCAUUCCUCUUUCCCUUGGUAUUGAAAUGGCUAGUGGAGUCAUGACUGUCCUCAUUAAGCACAAUACUACCAUUCCUACCAAGCAGAAGCAGACCUUCACUACCUACUCUGACAACCAGCCUGGCGUGCUCAUUCAGGUAGAUAGAUGAAGGUUUUGAAAGAGCCAUGACCAAGGAUAACAACCUGUUUGGGAAGUUUGAGCUCACAGGCAUACCUCCUGCACCCCGAGGUGUUCCUCAGAUUGAAGUCACUUUUGAUACUGAUGCCAAUGGUAUCCUCAAUGCUUUUGCUGUAGAUAAGAGUACAGGAAAAGAAAACAAGAUUACCAUCACCAGUGACAAAGGCUGCUUGAGCAAGGAGGACAUUGAGCAUAUGGUCCAGGAAGCUGAGAAGUACAAAGCUGAAGAAGACAAGAAGCAGAGACAAAGCAUCAUCAAAGAACUCACUGGAGUCCUAUGCAUUCAACAUAAAAGCAACAGCUGAAGAUGAGAAACUUCAAGGCAAGAUCAAUGAUGAGGACAAACAGAAGAUUCCUGACAAGCGUAAUGAAAUCAUCAGUUGGCUGCAUAAGAAUCAGUCUGCUAAGAAGGAAGAAUUUGAGCACCAGCAGAAAGAACUGGAGAAAGUCUGCAACCCCAUCAUUACCAAGCUGUACCAGAGUGCCGGUGGCAUGCCAGGAGGAAUGCCUGGGGGCUUCCCUGGUGGCUGAGCUCCUCCCUCUGGUGGUGCUUCUUCCCGGCCCACCAUCGAAGAGGUUGAUUAAAGUCAAUCCAAGUAAAGAUGUAGCAUUGU
Nannospalax galili (Upper Galilee mountains blind mole rat) is the source of this 1939-nucleotide RNA transcript. It is a transcript of the gene named heat shock cognate 71 kDa protein pseudogene, with no coding region annotated. The transcript has a single exon. Lineage: Eukaryota; Metazoa; Chordata; Mammalia; Rodentia; Spalacidae. The record is from RefSeq and is a predicted model, not a curated record.